RNAcentral lists this long non-coding RNA (5547 nucleotides) under Homo sapiens (human). Its description in RNAcentral is "non-protein coding LINC02328:37". The record is from RNAcentral. Lineage: Eukaryota; Metazoa; Chordata; Mammalia; Primates; Hominidae.
AGCAACCCUUCUGGGUCCCCUUCCACCACGCAGAAGCUUUACUUUCGCUUUCACUUUACUUUUGCUUUCACUUUAACAAAUCUUGCAGCCGCACACUCUUUGGGUCCGCCCGUUUCUCUAAUCAAGUUGUAACACUCGCUGCUGUGGUCCACAGCUUCAUUCCUUGAAGCCCGUGAGACACGAACGCUUCCAUUGAGAAAAACCUUCCAUCAGAAGAAGACUUCUCGUCUCAGUGGGACUGCUGAGUUGAAUGGAUGACCUUUGUUUGUUUAAACUGUUGGAAAAUCAAUAUUUAAAAUGAAAUCUAGAAACUGAAGUGUGCCCUCUGCAGGAUCACCAGAAUGAUGGGAAAACUGAACACAAUCAACUCAUGAACUCCCCAAGGUCAGAGGUUUGGUCUAAUUCAAUAACUAAUAUCUAGAAGGUAUUCUAGAAAAAUGCAUGUUAACAGAGUGAGCAAAAGUAACAGUCAAAGAAACCCAGGAAUCACAUUUCAUGCCUAUAUUAGUCUGUUCUCACACUGCUAGUAAAGACAUAACUGAGACUGGGUAAUUUAUAAAGGAAAGAUGUGUAAUUAAUUCAUAGUUCCACAUGGCUGGGGAGGCCUCAUCAUCAUGGCAGAAGGCAAAAAUGAAGCAAGACACGUCUUACAUGGCAGCAGGCAAGACAGCGUGUGCAGGGGAACUGCCCUUUAUAAAACCAUCACAUCUCAUGAGACUUACUAUCACAAAAACAGCAUGGAAAAACUCCCUCCCAUGAGUCAGUUACCUCCCACCAGAUCCCGCCCAUGACACAUGAGGAUUAUGGGGGCUACAAUUCAAGAUGAGAUUUGGGUGCAGACACAGCCAAAUCAUAUCAUAUCCUCUGUUUUCCAAAGAUCUUAUAUAAUUUAGUUCUACUUUAGAAAAAUUAAUCCAAUGAUAGUUGGCAGUAUAUACAGUUGUGUAAAAGAUGGGUAAUUUUUUGCAUACUCGUAAGAGUUCAGAAAAUUAAGAUAUAAGCUAUUGGUUAAGAGAGGGAAUAGCCUCUCUCAUUAUGACAAAAAUUAAUAGUUGAUUAUUUUUUUCAUAUAUGAUAAAAAUCUUAGUCCAUAUGUGUUUCAAUUUAAAAGACAUGAGAAGAUAAUAUGAUUUUUCCUCCAAAGUUGACUGGUUGGCUAUUAGACUGCAAAUCUCAUAAUAUAAUUACCUUGGUGGAAACAUAGUAAUUUAAAUAUUGGACAUUAGAUUUGCAGGUGCAGGAAAUCAAUUGUGUCAAUAUACAAAAAUUUUAUUAUACUAUUACAAUGAUUCACACUAAAAAUAUUUGGCGGGGAUUGAUAUAUAAAUAUACAUGGCAAUGUAUUAAUUUAUAAUGGUGGUGAUUUCUCUAACUACCUUCACCCCAGCUAUAUAUCAUAUAGUCAUAGUUGGAAACCACCGAGGAGGGUCACUCCAGCUGAGAGAGUCAAACUGUCAAGUCCCUACACUCUGACAUCACCCUGCUCAAAAGGGUUCUCCAUCUGCCGUUGCUCUCUUUUCUAUCGGUCAAUGCCUCAUGUAUAAGGAAACAUGAUCUUCUAUCAUUUACUGUACUGUUCUUCUCAAUGUUCUGCACUUGCUUUUUUUGGACUCAGCUGUCUACCAUAUCCUCAUCUUCAAAACUUUCCCACAGUAUUUUCUAGAACUAUCCAUCUAGAAUAAUAAUAAUAAUAAUAAAACCUAUCUUCAACUUCUACAUUGCCUGCCAUAAGUGAAACUUGACUCAUCUGAAGAUAUCACCUGUACUGUUUCCCUCUUAAUGCUGGUUGCUUAUUUUCGGACACACACACACACCCCUGGAUGGUGAGGUGGUAUUUCUGAACUCCCUAAACUGCAGUGGCACUUCUAGCAAUGAGACACCAUUCUCUUGUAAAACUAACAAAAAACACAUGCACAUACUGUAUUGGUUUGUUUUCAAAUUGCUAUAAAGAAAUACCUGAGACUGGGUAAUUUAUUAAAAAAAAAAAAAGAGGUUUCAUUGGCUCACGGUUCUGUAGCCUGUAUAGGAAGCACAGCAGCUUUUGCUUCUAGGGAGGCCUCAGGAAACUUACAAUCAUGGUGGAAAGCAAAGCGGAAGCAGGCACAUCUUAUAUGGCUGGAGUAGGAGCAAGGUGGUACAGAUGGAGCCACAUACAUGUAAACAGCCAGAUCUCUUGAGAACUCAUUCACCAUACAGUACCAAGAAGGGAUGGUGCUAAACCAUUCAUGAGAACUCUGCCUCCAUGAUCCAGUCCCCACGUCCAAAAAUUUGACUUAAGAUUUGGUGGGACACUAAUCCAACUCACCUACACACACACACACACACUCUCACACUAAACACAUUUGAGAUUCAUUUGAGAUUCAUGAAAUUUCACUAUACAAUUCCAACUGCUUUCUUACUGCUAUCAUCUAACUUCUGGUAAUUGGUUCACUAACAUAUCUUCAUCCAAAUUCUGUCACUGCCAUCCUUCAUGACGUAUGAACCCUCUAUGCUUAACAUACUUGUCUCCGAAGAAUCUGUCCUCUGCCCUGUCGUACAUCCGUAUCUCUCACACUAUGAAUUUUGUUAUAAAUGCAGAUUAUCUCUACUACAGAAUUGCUAAUUCAGUUAUUACACUCUCUGAGUACAACUUGCUUUCCUAGCUAUGGUCAUUUCUGUACUUCAGUGAGAGUCCCAGUUCAUGGCAUUUCCAAAUUCGUAGAGUUCUUUAGGCGUCUCAUUUUUGUUAUCAACAUUACUUUCUAAUCAUAAAUCUUGUUCAGAAUUUCUUGUUAACAACUUCUUUUCAUCAUUAUAUCAAAAGUGUCAAUUCUUCUCCGCGUAUUUUCAAACUUGAACUCAGCCUCCCAGUUCCCAGCCAAAGAACAAUCUUAUCUCUUCACAUAGAAAAUAUGAUAUCACCCUCAAUUUCUGCUUCCACCUAUACAAACCUAUCUACACUUACCUCUAUUUUGUCCUGCUUCCUUCUGCUUAAGCAUAGGUACUUGGGGACUGUUUCCUCUCACAUUCAAAGAAAUCUUUUCUUAUGUGAGUUCUCCAUUAUCUCCUAUCUAUUCGUCAACAUUCUCACAUUAAGAUCCUAAUUGUUCCAAGGAAAAUGUUUCUGCUUUUUUAGCUUUAUGGAUUUUCUACGUUGAUUCAUUUUCAUGUAAAUAGAAAGUGUGGGCUAAACUUUUAUCUACCUUAUUGAAUAUUAAGUAAACUAAAAUGCUUAAAAAGCGAUUUUUCAUACCGAAGAACUAAACUUUUCUCUGUACUUGGACACUUUGAUAAAUCAUAAUUGGUAGUUUACAGAUGGGAAGCUUACUUGCAAAUGUUCUAAAGAUGAAUGCUUCCUUUUGUAUGACAUUUUGAUAUAAAUUAAGAUCCAUGUGUUUCAUAUAUUGCUGAAAAAAAAAUAGUGUUAAAACAAUACUUCCUCUGCUGAAUAUAUGUGAAACUAUAUCUUUGAUUAGUGAUUCUGUCUCCUCUUCCACAGCAAAAAAUAACCCUCAAAUUUCUGUAAUUCUUUCCUGCUUCCUUUGCUUCUGCUAUGAAUGUUUUCUUAUGACACUGGAAAAAGUUUUAGUAGCUAACUAUAUAUAUUCACAUACAUACAUAUGUGUGUAUAUGUAUAUCUAUAUAUAUGUGCAUAUCAUGUGUACAUAUUUAUACAUACACAUUUAUAUCACAAUGACAGUAGAUAUAGCAUUAUAUGGCUCCUCUCCCACCUGUUAUUUUAGGAGCAGCUGUAAUUCUUAAAUAAGCGUUUAUUCUAUUGAUGUCCCCAGAGGUUGUCCCCAUUUGCGCCCAGGAACUCAUUCCUUACCCGUAAUGUAGCAUCUGCUGCUAUUUUUGUUUCUUAUUUUUCCUGUGAGGAGAUGCUGCAGGAACUACAGACCCAGGAAAUCAACUGUUAUGACUGACUCUCAAUUAAAAUCAGUGCCUGCCUCUGAGCUAUUGAUGAUUCUAAAAAGUACAGCAUCCACUACCAUUACUUCCUUAUGUAUAAGGUGCUUUUUUUUCUGAAGCUUUGGUAGUGUAACUGUAAGAGUCCUGGAAUUGGAAAAGCAAAUCCAGAAGUUGAGUUCCAUGACUUUUUUGCUGUUUGCCUUUGGCUGAAUCCAAGAAGAGAAGCCCUUGAAGAGUGUAUUCUAUUCUAGACAAGCAUUCACACAUUGGCUUCUUUGGUGCCAGGUAAUUAGAAUUUGUAAUUUGGUCUUAAUUAAACUGCAGACUACCCAAAGGCCUUGAUCAGUGGCCUUUUGACUGCCUCCACCGUUUGGAGGAAACAAACAAAACACAAAUUAGCCUUUAAAAAUAUGCCCAUUGAUUUCUCCUCAUCUCCCCAAACAUAUACAACCCCACCAGAUAUAUAUUUAUAUUGGCUAUAAAAAUAUGCCCAUUGAUUUCUCCUCAUCUCCCCAAACAUAUACAACCCCACCAGAUAUAUAUUUAUAUUGGGUAUAAUGUCAACAUAUAUCAAAUGUGCCAAUUAAACACAGAGCUCCUCUAAACUACCAAGCAUGUUAUUAUUAUUAUUUUAAUUUUUAAAACAUUUCUAACUUAACAGAAACAUUGGCCGGGCAGCACUAAUUGUAUCAUUCCUAUGUACUACCAACUUCUCACCAGUAUUGAACUUGAUCUUCAAAACUCUUCCCAGAUAGGGCUAUUUUUCCACUGACUCUAUUGUUAUUCCUUCCCAUUUUCCCUCCUCUGUUUUUGAUGCUUUUUAUUUUGGUUAGCAUGUUUCUGAUCAGCAUGAAAACUGCGCAGGAGCUUUUCUGUCUUGCAGAGCUAGUUAAUGAGAUUGUUGCUGCCUUCAGAUUCUAUAAAGGACUUCUCCAAUAUUGGGUGAGAUUAAAGUCAAAAUCAAGAGAAUUUAUAUUUCAGUUGAAUCUAUGUAAGUCUGUUAAAAAAGUAAUGGGCUCAGGGUCAAACAUCAGUAAUUGACCCUCACUCUACAGAUUAUUAAUUGUAUGACUGUAUUUCUCAGUAUCCUCAUCUAUAAAACCAGGUUAGCAAAAACUGCCUUCCUACUUCAAAAGGCACAAAUAAAAACUAAACUAAAAGCCAUACAAAACAAAGUGGAUAGCUCAUUUGCUUUACUUGGAAUGACAAUUCAACAUAGUAUUUUAAAUUCCUGUCUUUUAAAACAGUGAUUUCACACAUAUUGGCUCAUUAAAUUCUUCGUAUUAUCAAGAGUUGCUUAAUACAUUUGAGAACACAAAACAAUGGCCUUUUCUGUGCCUUUUUUAGGUGGUAAUUAUUCUUUAGUAAAGUCGGGUUGUUUUAAUUGAAAAUGAAUUUAGGUUUUUAAUCAGGAUUAGCACAAGUCGAUGUGUUCUCAGUUGUUGAAAGUUAAACUAGUAUUGCUAUAUUUCAAUGAUUGCUAGAAUAAAGAAAUAAAAAAAAAAUAGACAUGUUGAGUAAAGCUUUAUGAGUUAUAUAAAUGCAUAAUUAUAUUUGCAUAGGUAAACAAUACAUUUUUUUUCUAUUUUUGCUAAGUAAUAAGUUAGUUAAUAUAUUAUGUAAGAAUGAAAAUGAUUCAAAUAUUUGCCUGUUUCU